RNAcentral lists this ribosomal RNA (501 nucleotides) under uncultured bacterium. Its description in RNAcentral is "partial 16S ribosomal RNA". It matches the Rfam family "Bacterial small subunit ribosomal RNA", at positions 28 to 523 of the family's 1533-position model. The record is from RNAcentral.
GAUGAACGCUAGCGACAGGCUUAACACAUGCAAGUCGAGGGGCAGCAUGAGGUAGCAAUACCUUGAUGGCGACCGGCGCACGGGUGAGUAACGCGUAUGCAACCUGCCCGAUACCGGAGUAUAGCCCAUGGAAACGUGGAUUAUCACCCCAUAGUACUUUUAUCCUGCAUGGGAUGUGAGUUAAAUGUUCAAGGUAUCGGAUGGGCAUGCGUCCUAUUAGUUAGUUGGCGGGGUAACAGCCCACCAAGACGAUGAUAGGUAGGGGUUCUGAGAGGAAGGUCCCCCACAUUGGAACUGAGACACGAUCCAAACUCCUACGGGAGGCAGCAGUGAGGAAUAUUGGUCAAUGGACGUAAGUCUGAACCAGCCAAGUCGCGUGAGGGAAGACUGCCCUAUGGGUUGUAAACCUCUUUUAUAAGGGAAGAAUAAGUUCUACGUGUAGAAUGAUGCCUGUACCUUAUGAAUAAGCAUCGGCUAACUCCGUGCCAGCAGCCGCCGUAA